GCGAAAGUGGCGGAACUGGUAGACGCGCUGGAUUUAGGUUCCAGUGCCGCGAGGCGUGAGAGUUCGAGUCUCUCCUUUCGCACCA
Molecule: transfer RNA, 85 nt
Filed under: Allohahella marinimesophila
Lineage: Bacteria; Pseudomonadati; Pseudomonadota; Gammaproteobacteria; Oceanospirillales; Hahellaceae
Also listed under: 2 other names
Description: tRNA-Leu
Rfam family: tRNA
About the family: Transfer RNA (tRNA) molecules are approximately 80 nucleotides in length.
Source: RNAcentral